AAGUCGUAACAAGGUUUCCGUAGGUGAACCUGCGGAAGGAUCAUCAAUGAUGCGAUACUUUGACUUUUUUUGGGUCGAAUACGCAAGAGGCUUGAAUGUGGAAUUCAUGCUCUCAACAACACAAACCAGGCCAAGUUUGGUGGCAUCUUUGCCUGGAGCGAGUCAAUAAAAACCAACCAGCGCAAAACAACUUUCGGCAACGGAUCUCUCGGCUCUCC
RNAcentral lists this unclassified non-coding RNA (218 nucleotides) under fungal sp. Its description in RNAcentral is "partial internal transcribed spacer region". The stretch from base 1 to 46 matches the Rfam family "Eukaryotic small subunit ribosomal RNA", at positions 1786 to 1831 of the family's 1831-position model. Lineage: Eukaryota; Fungi. The record is from RNAcentral.